GCGAAUGGAUUAAGAGCUUGCUCUUAUGAAGUUAGCGGCGGACGGGUGAGUAACACGUGGGUAACCUGCCCAUAAGACUGGGAUAACUCCGGGAAACCGGGGCUAAUACCGGAUAACAUUUUGAACCGCAUGGUUCGAAAUUGAAAGGCGGCUUCGGCUGUCACUUAUGGAUGGACCCGCGUCGCAUUAGCUAGUUGGUGAGGUAACGGCUCACCAAGGCAACGAUGCGUAGCCGACCUGAGAGGGUGAUCGGCCACACUGGGACUGAGACACGGCCCAGACUCCUACGGGAGGCAGCAGUAGGGAAUCUUCCGCAAUGGACGAAAGUCUGACGGAGCAACGCCGCGUGAGUGAUGAAGGCUUUCGGGUCGUAAAACUCUGUUGUUAGGGAAGAACAAGUGCUAGUUGAAUAAGCUGGCACCUUGACGGUACCUAACCAGAAAGCCACGGCUAACUACGUGCCAGCAGCCGCGGUAAUACGUAGGUGGCAAGCGUUAUCCGGAAUUAUUGGGCGUAAAGCGCGCGCAGGUGGUUUCUUAAGUCUGAUGUGAAAGCCCACGGCUCAACCGUGGAGGGUCAUUGGAAACUGGGGAGACUUGAGUGCAGAAGAGGAAAGUGGAAUUCCAUGUGUAGCGGUGAAAUGCGUAGAGAUAUGGAGGAACACCAGUGGCGAAGGCGGACUUUCUGGUCU
RNAcentral lists this ribosomal RNA (691 nucleotides) under Bacillus cereus. RNAcentral describes it as "bacterial SSU rRNA". It matches the Rfam family "Bacterial small subunit ribosomal RNA", at positions 66 to 735 of the family's 1533-position model. Lineage: Bacteria; Bacillati; Bacillota; Bacilli; Caryophanales; Bacillaceae. The record is from RNAcentral.